GCCCACUGCCGCACGGGGGCGUGGCCAGAAUCUGCCUGGAGGCUCGCCACGCCCCGCUUCACAAACUCUGCAAGCCAGGCACACACAUUACUAACAAGCUCUGGAUCCUGUUAAAAGAGAACAUCAGUCACGAAGCACAAGCACAGAAGCCCCUAAGGAUGCUUCAGAAUUAUGGAGACUUGUACCAAAUGAAGCUGAGGAAAGAAUUCUUAAUGAUGAAGAACUGUUGGAAGCAAGACUGGGAAGGGCUGACCUAUGACUUCUAGUAAAUAACACAACUGUGUCUCCAGAACUGAGUGGAUCCUGAGACCCUAAGCCCAUACCUGCCCAACCUAUAGGAGGAAGUAGCCUUGGGGAUGUCACUGUGUUCCUGCCAAUGGCCCAAGGCUCAUUAAGCUAAUUGCUUUCUGGGGAAAGUGGUUUUGCUUUAUAUGUCUUAACAUCUGGGGAGAGAGGCCACCUGUACAUCGCAGGAAGCACACCAGGACGACUACAGCAUGAACAGGCUUGGCGAAGGCCACUGGUAAAAGGCAAGGUGUCCUGUCACAAGGAUACCAAUGUCACCAAAAUGAAGUAGAGGAGCCAAUCUAUGACUGGAGCCAAUCUGCAACUAGUCACUGCAGUUAUCAAGAAGAUUAAAAUACCUCUGCUCAGCCUUAAAAAUGAUGAGAGGAAAAUAAAUUAUGAGACAUUAGCAAUCUAAGGAGAAAGUUAUAGAAUAUAUUGUUUAGAAGUAAGACCUUAACACUUUAUGGCUCUUUAGUGGAUGUUGUGCUUGUUAUUGUCAGGUAUAGACACCUAGUAAGAAAGAUGAAUAUCCCAUUAUGCAUUCUAGGCUAAUAGUUGAGUGUGAUGCAAAGAAGACCUUAAUAAGGAAGAAAUCUGAAUUUCCCUUAAAUGAUAACAACAAGCAAAUAGUUGGGCAAAUGGAAUGGCUUGUGUUGGUAGAAGUCAACUUAUUUCUCAAAAAAAAAAAGUAAAAUGUUACCUUUUU
This 994-nucleotide long non-coding RNA is filed under the name Mus caroli (Ryukyu mouse). RNAcentral's name for it is "RIKEN cDNA 4930412F09 gene (MGP_CAROLIEiJ_G0006301.1)". The record is from RNAcentral. Lineage: Eukaryota; Metazoa; Chordata; Mammalia; Rodentia; Muridae.